Molecule: ribosomal RNA, 128 nt
Filed under: uncultured bacterium
Lineage: Bacteria
Description: partial 16S ribosomal RNA
Rfam family: Bacterial small subunit ribosomal RNA
Source: RNAcentral
CCUACGGGAGGCAGCAGUGGGGAAUAUUGCGCAAUGGGCGAAAGCCUGACGCAGCAACGCCGCGUGGAGGAAGAAGGCUUUCGGGCUGUAAACCGCUUCAGCAGGAACGAAAAUGACGUACCUGCAGA